RNAcentral lists this ribosomal RNA (433 nucleotides) under uncultured bacterium. RNAcentral's name for it is "partial 16S ribosomal RNA". It matches the Rfam family "Bacterial small subunit ribosomal RNA", at positions 29 to 507 of the family's 1533-position model. The record is from RNAcentral.
AACGAACGCUGGCGGCAUGCCUAACACAUGCAAGUCGAACGAGACCUUCGGGUCUAGUGGCGCACGGGUGCGUAACGCGUGGGAACCUGCCCUUAGGUUCGGAAUAACUCCCCGAAAGGGGUGCUAAUACCGGAUAAUGUCUUCGGACCAAAGAUUUAUCGCCUUUGGAUGGGCCCGCGUUGGAUUAGCUAGUUGGUAGGGUAAAAGCCUACCAAGGCGACGAUCCAGAGCUGGUCUGAGAGGAUGAUCAGCCACACUGGGACUGCGACACGGCCUAGACUCCUACGGGAGGCAGCAGUGGGGAGUACUGGAGAAGGGGCGAAAGCCUGACACAGCAAUGCCGCGUGAGUGAUGAAGGCCUUAGGGUUGUAAAGCUCUUUUACCCGGGAUGAUAAUGACAGUACCGGGAGAAUAAGCUCCGGCUAACUACGUG